Myxocyprinus asiaticus (Chinese sucker) is the source of this 1905-nucleotide RNA transcript. It is a transcript of the gene named intraflagellar transport 52 homolog (Chlamydomonas), with no coding region annotated. The record is from RefSeq and is a predicted model, not a curated record. Lineage: Eukaryota; Metazoa; Chordata; Actinopteri; Cypriniformes; Catostomidae. The transcript has 15 exons.
CGCCCCUGGUUACGCUUGUGUUGUCUAAAUACCCACAACGCACCGCGCAGGGUCACUUCAACAUGGUUUAAAUGCAUAGCUACUGAUCCAUAUCUCAGCAUGGACAAAGAACAGCGAAAUACCGUUAUUUUCAAUGCAUCCAAACGCGAGCUCUUCACUAAUAACUCUGGAUUCAAGUCUCUGCAGAAGAAAUUAAGAGCACAGUGGAAGAUUCAAAGCAUCAAAGAGGAGCUCACUCUGGAGAAACUCCAAGGAGCGAAGUUAUGGGUCACCGCUGGCCCUCGAGAAAAGUUCACUGCUGCUGAGUUGGAGGUUCUUAAGCAAUAUCUGGACAGUGGUGGAGGUCUUCUUGUGAUGCUCGGAGAAGGAGGAGAAAUGAAAUAUGACACUAAUAUCAACUUUCUCCUGGAAGAGUUCGGCAUUAUGGUUAAUAAUGAUGCAGUAAUAAGGAAUGUCUAUUACAAGUAUUUCCAUCCCAAGGAAGCACUUGUGUCCAAUGGCGUUCUGAACAGGGAGAUUAGUCGUGCUGCUGGUAAAGUGGUCACAGGUGUCACUGAUGAAGAAAAUACAGGGAAUAAUUCAAAGGCACUUACGUUCAUAUACCCUUAUGGGGCCACAUUAAAUGUGAUAAAGCCUGCGGUGGCAAUCCUGUCCACUGGCUCUGUGUGCUUUCCGCUCAACAGACCUGUGCUUGCCUUCCAUUGUGCCAAGAAUGCUGGCAAGUUGGCAGUUCUGGGCUCAUGUCACAUGUUCAGUGACCAGUACCUGGACAAGGAGGAGAAUAGUAAAAUAAUGGAUAUUGUUUUCCAGUGGCUCACAACCGAUAGCAUUCACCUCAACCAGAUAGAUGCAGAAGACCCAGAGAUCACAGACUACACCAUGCUGCCAGACACAGGGAGUCUGUCCAACCAGCUGAGGGUGUGUCUGCAGGAGGGAGACGAGAACCCACGAGAUUUCACAUCUCUAUUUGACAUGUCUCUGCUAAAGCUGCACACAAACACACUUCCCUCAUUCAUCGAUGCUUACAAGCAGCUGAAUGUCAAACGUGAACCUCUGCAGUUGAUCACACCACAGUUUGAAACACCUCUGCCCCCUCUGCAGCCUGCUGUCUUUCAGCCAGCCUUUCGGGACCUGCGCCCGCCAAUGCUUGACCUUUUUGACCUUGACGAGACCUUUUCUUCAGAGAAAGUGAGGCUGGCUCAGCUUUCAAAUAAAUGUACCGACGAUGAUCUUGAGUUCUAUGUCCGUAAAUGUGGAGACAUCUUAGGAGUGACUGGGAAUUUAGACAAUGAUAAGAGAGAUGCAAAGCACAUACUGGAACACAUCUUCUUCCAGGUGGUGGAGUUCAAGAAGCUCAAUGAAGAACAUGAUAUUGACACAACAGAAGCAAGGUUCAACAUGUACUGAAGCUGGAAGGACUUGUGAACUGUGGAGCAAUACAGCAUUGGAUUGUGUUGAUGUGUGUACAUAUAUAGACACUCGGAUGGCAACUGAAACCGAUGCGCUUCAGCACUGCUCCAAGUGUGAGAGAAGUCAGAUUGUGUGUACCAGACAAUAUAGUGCAUUCCAGACAACUUGAAACUCUAAAUAUUCCCUCUUCCUACUUGAACAUAAUGACUGGAACGCCACUCAACGUUGGAUAUGCGACUUCUAAAGUUGGGGUAAAUCGAUGAACCCUGACUUCUGCAAGAAGUGUCAUUUGAUGUCAUUUCCAAAAUGGUGGCACUCAAAGAGCAUAAACUGGAGCUGGGUGUUGUGAAACAAAAAAAACUUUUAUUCAUAUUCAUUGCACAAAAUGGAUGAAUAUGCUAUAUACAGUAAAUAUACAAGAGGAUGUUAAAAUUGUGUGUGUAUCAAUCAAUGCCUUCACUUAUUUUGCUCAUUAAAUAGCUCCUAGAUAGAGGA